RNAcentral lists this ribosomal RNA (489 nucleotides) under bacterium mbm11. RNAcentral describes it as "bacterial SSU rRNA". It matches the Rfam family "Bacterial small subunit ribosomal RNA", at positions 28 to 497 of the family's 1533-position model. The record is from RNAcentral.
CUCAGACGAACGCUGGCGGCAUGCCUAAUACAUGCAAGUCGAGCGGAACCUGGGGAGCUUGCUCCCCAAGUUUAGCGGCGGACGGGUGAGUAACACGUGGGCAACCUGCCCUGCAGAUCGGGAUAACUCCGGGAAACCGGUGCUAAUACCGAAUAGUUUUUGGCCCCGCCUGGGGCCGAACGGAAAGACGGUUUCGGCUGUCACUGCAGGAUGGGCCCGCGGCGCAUUAGCUAGUUGGUGGGGUAAUGGCCCACCAAGGCGACGAUGCGUAGCCGACCUGAGAGGGUGAUCGGCCACACUGGGACUGAGACACGGCCCAGACUCCUACGGGAGGCAGCAGUAGGGAAUCUUCCGCAAUGGACGAAAGUCUGACGGAGCAAUGCCGCGUGAGUGACGAAGGUUUUCGGAUCGUAAAACUCUGUUGUGAGGGAAGAACAAGUACCAAGUAACUACUGGUACCUUGACGGUACCUCACCAGAAAGCCACGGC